Molecule: ribosomal RNA, 468 nt
Filed under: uncultured bacterium
Lineage: Bacteria
Description: partial 16S ribosomal RNA
Rfam family: Bacterial small subunit ribosomal RNA
Source: RNAcentral
GACGAACGCUGGCGGCGUGCUUAACACAUGCAAGUCGAACGGAAAGGCCCUGCUUUUGUGGGGUGCUCGAGUGGCGAACGGGUGAGUAACACGUGAGUAACCUGCCCUUGACUUUGGGAUAACUUCAGGAAACUGGGGCUAAUACCGGAUAGGAGCUCCUGCUGCAUGGUGGGGGUUGGAAAGUUUCGGCGGGUGGGGAUGGACUCGCGGCUUAUCGGCUUGUUGGUGGGGUAGUGGCUUACCAAGGCUUUGACGGGUAGCCGGCACGAGAGGGUGACCGGCCACAUUGGGACUGAGAUACGGACCAGACUCCUACGGGAGGCAGCAGUGGGGAAUAUUGCACAAUGGGCGGAAGCCGGAUGCAGCAACGCCGCGUUCGGGAUGACGGCCUUCGGGUUGUAAACCGCUUUCGCCUGUGACGAAGCGUGAGUGACGGUAAUGAGUAAAGAAGCACCGGCUAACUACGUG